GCCAGGUUGGUUACGUUGCCUUUGAGAGCGUAUGGUAGCCCAGGAAUGAGAAUUACCCCCAUGAUGGCAUACCAUUUGCAAAAGAAGACAACCCAAGGUAUUGCAAAUGGGGUAUGUCCAGUCUUUUUUAGUAACCACUUGGUCACAAACACUGGCCAAAAUUAGCGUUCAAUUUAGUUUUUUUACUUUUUUCACACACAAACAAAUAUGAAUGCUUACUUUGGCCAGUGUUUUCGACUAAGUGGCUACUAAAAAAGACUGGACAUACCCCAUAUUGAGUACCCUGGGUUGUCUACUUUAAAAAAAAUAUGUACAUGUGGGGUGUUAUUCAGAGAUUUAUGACAGAUAAUAGUGUUACAAUGUCACUAUUGAUAAAUUUUAAAAAUGUAUGUUUUGAAACCGCAAUAUCCUACUUGUACCUAUAGCCCUAUAACAUGCAAAAAAAAGCAAAAAAGCACGUAAACACUAGGUAUUUUUAAACUCAGG
Molecule: non-coding RNA, 486 nt
Organism: Pelobates cultripes (western spadefoot toad)
Lineage: Eukaryota; Metazoa; Chordata; Amphibia; Anura; Pelobatidae
Source: the annotation of a GenBank genome assembly